UACGUAGGGUGCAAGCGUUGUCCGGAAUUAUUGGGCGUAAAGAGCGUGUAGGCGGCCCGAUUAGUCCGCUGUGAAAGUCCAGGGCUCAACCCUCGAAUGCCGGUGGAUACUGUCGGGCUUGAGUACGGGAGAGGCGAGUGGAAUUCCUGGUGUAGCGGUGAAAUGCGCAGAUAUCAGGAGGAACACCGAUUGCGAAGGCAGCUCGCUGGAACGUUACUGACGCUGAGACGCGAAAGCGUGGGGAGCAAACAGG
Molecule: ribosomal RNA, 253 nt
Filed under: uncultured bacterium
Lineage: Bacteria
Description: partial 16S ribosomal RNA
Rfam family: Bacterial small subunit ribosomal RNA
Source: RNAcentral